GCGUUGGUGGUUUAGUGGUAAAAUUGAUCGUUGCCAUUCGAAUCUGAAAAGAUUAUUAAGGAUUUCAUCCCCAACAUCAAGGACUUCACGAUUUCAAGCUCGAUCAGCCCCGGGUUCGAUUCCCGGCCGACGCA
This is a non-coding RNA of Phyllosticta capitalensis, 134 nucleotides long. Lineage: Eukaryota; Fungi; Ascomycota; Dothideomycetes; Botryosphaeriales; Phyllostictaceae. The record is from the annotation of a GenBank genome assembly.